GCGUUCGGGUAAUCGCUGCAUGUUUACUACAUGUAGAGGAAAGUCCAUGCUCGCACAGGCUGAGAUGCUUGUAGUGUUCGUGCCUAGUGAAUUCAUAAGCUAGGGCAGCCAAUUAUUUGGCUGACGGCAGGGAAAAAGCCUAAGUCCUAUGGAUAUGGCUUGAAUACUUUGAAAGUGCCACAGUGACGAAGUCCUACUAGAAAUGGUAGGAGUGGAACGAGGUAAACCCCACGAGCGAGAAACCCAAAUAAUGGUAGGGGAGCGUUCCCUAAGGAAUAAUGAACGAUGGGAACGACAGAUCAUUCAUCUGUAGAUAGAUGAUUACCACCUGAGUACGAGACUUAGUCGGUCGUUUGCAGUACGACGGAACAAAACAUGGCUUACAGAA
This 388-nucleotide RNase P RNA is filed under the name Bacillus suaedaesalsae. RNAcentral's name for it is "RNase P RNA component class B". It matches the Rfam family "Bacterial RNase P class B". Rfam says of the family: Ribonuclease P (RNase P) is a ubiquitous endoribonuclease, found in archaea, bacteria and eukarya as well as chloroplasts and mitochondria. The record is from RNAcentral. Lineage: Bacteria; Bacillati; Bacillota; Bacilli; Caryophanales; Bacillaceae.